AAUCAUUAAGGUUGGAAAACCUCUAGGACCAUUUAGUCCAACCACCAACUCAUCCUCAUCAUACCCACUAGCUAUGUCCCUCAGUGCCACAUCUACAUGAUUCUUUAACACCUCCUGGGACAGUGCCUUCCUGGGCAGCCUGUUCCAAUGCUUUACCACUCUUUCUGGGGAGAAGUUCUUCCUAAUAUCCAUCCUGAAUCUCCCCUGGUGCAACUUGAGGCCAUUCUCUCUCAUCCUAUUGCUGUUGUCUGGAAGAAGAGGCUGACCCCCACCUUGCCAUGACCUCCUUUCAGGGAGUUGUAGAGAGCAAUAAGGCUCUCUCCUGAGCCUCCUCUUCUCCAGUCUAAACAAUCCCAGUUUCCUCAGCCACUCCCCAUAAGACCUGUAUUCACUGAGCAGCUGAUCCUUUUCCUUCCCUGAUUUCCAAAAAAAUAUUGAGAGACUGACUUGAGCUCCCAGAAUGACCACUGAUGGAAAAGUGAGACCCUGGCAGCAGCGGGGCUGGGAAGCUGAUGUCAAAUUCUCAUGACAAACCAGGACCUGGAAAAGUGCUGAGUGCCAGGGGAAUGGCUGAACUUGAAAAUAAAAGGCUAUCUGGAAAUACACAAGCUGAGUUACGUAAGGAUUGUAUUGCAAAUGGAAUUUACAAUGUAAUGGCUCACCUCUGCACGAGAGUGAGCCUUGUCAUGUGCAAGCAUAUGUUACAGGGGAAUCCACUGGGCUGUUGAUGGAAAGCAAAUAUUAUGUGACCCUGAAUCUCACUUGAUAUUUUAAACCAUAAUAGUUUCAGAUUUGAGUCACAAUAAGUAGGAUAUAUAUAUAUGUUUGUAUAUAGAAGCUUUUAAGCUCUGAGCAAGGCUUCUGCCUUGGCAAUAUUUUCACCUCAAAUUGCACAUUUGGUCCUCUAUUCUCAUAAAUAAUUGUAGCUUCAAUCCAAAGUCAGAAAUCAGAUGAGAGGCUUCCGAACUUUGACAAGAAAUCCAAUUACAAUGACAAUCUGCAAUUGCAAUUAGAAUCUUCUCUUUUCUACUCUGGCCACUUUGAGCUCCAGUUUCAUCCACCCAUGUUACACCUUGCUUCUUCACAGGGCUUGCUGCAUAGAGGUGACAUCAGGAUUGGUCCGAUGCCUUAUUUGCCCCUUUGGAGCUUUCAAUAGGAACAGAUAUGUUCUUAGCAUUGCAUGGAGAACACCCUCAGCCCAGGGUCUUCUUUGGAACACUCCUCUGUCAGAGCAAGAGCUGGAGAGGAUGGCACAUGAGAGGCACACAUGGGGAAACAUCUGUUUUCUUUUUUUAAUUCAACACUUUGACCUGAAACACUGAGGCGAGCUGUGCAAAGAGCUGCUUGCAAGGUAGGAGGAGAGGCUCUACUUAAGAGAAAAUCUGCCACAGUCUACAAAACAAUCCCACCACAAAAUAAAAUUAAAAGUAAUGAGAUUUUCCACUGUUAACUUAAUAGCAGCAAACCACAUGUUCUAAACAAUGUUUUUUUAAUUUUUUUAUUUUUUUAUUUUUAUUUUUUUGGUGUGAGGACUCAUUUUUAGUAACAAACCCCAGACUAUUAGCCCUGCCAUUUUUCCACUGCUGGAGGAAAACCUGGACUCUUGCUGAAUUUGUAUGGUGAAUAUCUCAGAGAUAUUUGAAUCUGCCACCAGUAAAAGGCCUUUAAAUGUGCUCGCAUGGAGGAACCAGCUCAAGGUAAAGGAAAUGGAAAAAAUGGGAAAAAGAAGAGACCUCUCUUUGGAUCUUUAGCUGUGUUAUUUUUUUAGAUUAUAUUUCUUCUGAGCUCCCAAAAUCUUCAGUAACAAACAAGUUUUCUUUUAAAAAGUAUUAAGUUAUCAUAACAUUUGCCAGGUCCUAAUAUUAAAUCGUAGCAGUCAGCAAUGUUUAAGUUCAGCUAUAUCAUUUUGCUGAGUAAGUCAUGUUAAAACUUACAGUUUUCCCCUUAAAAUGAUCUUUCCAAAUGAGAUUGAUAUUGUGAGAAAAAAAGAAAAAAGAGAGGGACGCCUUCAUCAUAAGGAAUUAUGGAAUUAAUUUUCUUUAUACACUGUGUUUGCACAGGACAUUUUUGUUAACUCUUAAUAAAAAUACCAUUCAGCUGCUACUUUCAUUGUUUUUAUCCUGGGACCAAUACAACAUUGUCAUUAUUGGAUAUAAAGUGCUGUAAAAACAAAUCUAAUUUGUUAAGUUUAUUUUGAUAAGAAAUAAAUAUAAAGGUAGUGCAUAGUUUGUAUAGUGCUGCUAUCAUAGGACUCCUGGGUAUAAUUUAUAUAAAGAAAAUAAAAAAGCAUACAUAA
This is a long non-coding RNA of Tympanuchus pallidicinctus (lesser prairie-chicken), 2296 nucleotides long. RefSeq lists it as uncharacterized. The transcript is spliced from 2 exons. The record is from RefSeq and is a predicted model, not a curated record. NCBI's taxonomy places the organism in Eukaryota, Metazoa, Chordata, Aves, Galliformes, Phasianidae.